GCCGCCCAAACCACGCCACAGGAUAAACCCCUCCCGGACGAAACAGCCCCGUCUCGGCUCGGCCGUCCACACCCACCCACCCACGCGCCCGUCCCCAACCCGUUCGGCGAAAUGCCGCCGCCGCUCUCCGUCUCGCUCCCGUCGCCGCAGCCCCUCUCCCUCCUCCCGCGCCACGCCAGGGCCGGCCACACCCACUCCCUCGCCCUGGCCCCGCCCCUCUCCACCAGGGCGCCGCCCUCCUCCGCCUGCUCCGUCGUCCCCGCGCGCCACUCCGACUACUUCGACCCCCGGGCCCCGCCGUCGCAGCGCGACGCGUACGGGCAGCCGCCUCUGGAGAGGGAUCCGCCGGUGCCGGGCGGCCAGGCCGGGCGGGUGUUCGCCAGCUACAGCAUCUACAAGGGCAAGGCUGCGCUGGCCUUCGACCCCAGGCCGCCGCAGUUCGUGCCGCUCGAAUCUGGGGCGUACAAGGUGGCCAAGGAGGGGUUCGUGCUGCUCCAGUUCGCCCCCGCCGUGGGGCCCCGGCAGUAUGAUUGGACUCGCAAGCAGGUGUUCUCAUUAUCUGUCUGGGAGAUGGGAACCUUGCUUACUCUUGGUCUAACAGAUUCGUGCGAGUUCUUUCAUGACCCUUUCAAGGGGAGGAGCGAUGAAGGUAAAGUGCGCAAGGUUCUAAAGGUUGAGCCAACACCAGAUGGCAACGGUCGCUUUUUCAACCUCAGUGUUCAAAACCGUCUUUUGAACGUUGAUGAGAACAUUUACAUCCCUAUAACCAAAGGAGAAUAUGCGGUCAUUGUAUCGACUUUCAAUUACAUCAUACCGCACAUCAUGGGCUGGAGCACGUUUACAAAUUCUAUCAAGCCCGAGGAGUCGCAGCCAUACAAUAGGCCGCAGUCCUCUCCCGAAUUGGAGUGGCGAAGGUGAAGAAUGACAACGCUCUCGGACGGAGAUGGCAGGAAGAAUGAUACUUUUGGUGGUGUUCCUUCCAGAAAAGAAAUUCUUGGUGGUGGUGUUUGGAAAGUAUUUUGGUGCAUAAUUUGGCUGGAAUGGCUUACAUGAGACUUAUUGUAGCAAUUUUUGCCUGGAGGUAUUGCAGUACCCCGUAUGGAUCAUGGAUACCUGCAUCAGAUACCCGAAGCUCUAAAGCCUGAACUGUUUUGCAUUUGCAAUGCAAGUUGUUCAUUUGCUAAUUCUGAAUUCAAUAUUGUGAACUUGUCAUAUACUGAAACUCGAGUCACAUAUUCCCAACAUUUCUUGCGUCCUUAUUGAGUAAGCUCUGUGCUACCCUGCUCUCUGAUUUGCCUAUUUAAAAAUUACUCCCUUCGUCCCAUAAUGUAAGACGUUUUUUGACAUUACACUAUUUGUUUGUGAUCCUUGUGAACCAAACCAGUAUUUGUAAUCCAAGAUGGUUGUCGUAUUUUGAUACUGGCAAAAGUCUAUUUCAG
Molecule: ribosomal RNA, 1439 nt
Filed under: Triticum aestivum (bread wheat)
Lineage: Eukaryota; Viridiplantae; Streptophyta; Magnoliopsida; Poales; Poaceae
Description: partial small subunit ribosomal RNA
Source: RNAcentral